Ailuropoda melanoleuca (giant panda) is the source of this 1451-nucleotide long non-coding RNA. RefSeq lists it as uncharacterized. NCBI's taxonomy places the organism in Eukaryota, Metazoa, Chordata, Mammalia, Carnivora, Ursidae. The record is from RefSeq and is a predicted model, not a curated record. The transcript is spliced from 3 exons.
GCUUCCUUAGGAUAUAAUUUUGGCUCUUCAGCAUCGGACACGAGGCUCCCUAGCACACUUGUCCGGUUUCAUCUCUUACUUCUUCCUGUUCAUCUAUGGAAGCCUGGGUCUUCAUUCACGGAAAUAUCUCGCUUGGACUCUUCCCUGGACUAACUUCUACUCAUCUUCUAAGACUCCACUGAGGUAUUCACUUAGUCAUCACAUAUUUACUGACUGGCACCACAUUUAAAGCACGGUCUUCCCCGAUCCCAUGAGUCUGGGUAGGCACCCUCCGGCAUGCUCCCGCCCUCCUCUUGGGCCUUCAGCCCCUCAGACUAGCACGGCGCCAGGCUCACCGCUGAAACACAUGCCAACGGAUUUGAGGACUGUCAGGAGGACGGGUGCUGAGUGAUCAGGUCUCCAUGGCCACCAGUGAGGCCCCACGCCCUGCAGUGAGGACUUCCCAAGGGGAUGAGAACUAGUGGAGCCUGGCCCAUCUUCCCAAGUUGCUCGUUCACUCUCGGGUCCUGGGCUAAUUGUACGUGGUGGAAACGAAGGAUGGAAGUGAACAAUUGUUCCGAGAAUCUCACUGCUGAAAGUUGGUGUGGAUGAUUCACAACAAACUGCGGGUGCCUUGGCUGGAAUAGCUGGUGUUUCGUCUACACAACCCCAAUUCGUCACAUACUGGCUGAUCUGUUCUUCAUCAGGGGGAGAACGUGUAGUUACGUGAAGGUUGUGUUUGUAUCUGGAGAAAGCUAGUGUCUCAGGCACAGGUGGUAGGGGAGAUAAUCUCAACCAGCACCGUGUUGCAAAAGAGUUCCCUUCACAUGCUGUUUACUUUAAGUGAAGGAUAAAUUUCUGCUCCAAAUGCUUCUCUGUUGCACAGAUCAGUGAUUCACCAAAAUGGGGGUGGCAGGCAGCCAGACAUGCCCAAUGGAAGGGCAUGCAGGCAUCACCUGGGCAUUUCAUUUUAUUUUCUGUAAACUGCACCACCAUCUUCCGGGGCCAUCUGCAGAGAAUCACCAAUGAUUUGGACUUGUUUCUGUUGGGAGUAGGUCUUGGUCCUUAGGUGAGUCAAGGCUCAAAACGUGCUGACAACCACUGACACUGGUAGAAGGAUCUAUUGGUUUUGACCAUGAAACAAGCACCUUACUUGGUCCCCUACCCUUUUAUUUUAAAGGAAAUGACCUACUGUUAUGUUCUCUGAAUUCUUAAGACUUCUCAAACUCACUUUUUUAAAAAAAGAUUUUAUUUAUUGAUUUGACAGAGAGAGACAGCCAGUGAGAGAGGGAACACAGGCAGGGGGAGUGGGAGAGGAAGAAGCAGGCUCCCAGCAGAGGAGCCUGAUGCGGGGCUUGAUUCCAGGACUCUGGGAUCACGCCCUGAGCUGAAGGCAGACGCUUACUGACUGAGCCACCCAGGCGCCCCCUCAAACUCACUUCUCAACAUCCCAAUUGUCACCACCCUAGUCC